This 254-nucleotide ribosomal RNA is filed under the name uncultured bacterium. RNAcentral's name for it is "partial 16S ribosomal RNA". It matches the Rfam family "Bacterial small subunit ribosomal RNA", at positions 524 to 776 of the family's 1533-position model. The record is from RNAcentral.
UACGUAGGGUGCAAGCGUUGUCCGGAAUUAUUGGGCGUAAAGAGCUCGUAGGCGGUUCGUCGCGUCGGCUGUGAAAACCCGGAGCUCAACUCCGGGCCUGCAGUCGAUACGGGCGGACUUGAGUGUUGCAGGGGAGACUGGAAUUCCUGGUGUAGCGGUGAAAUGCGUAGAUAUCAAGAGGAACACCUGAGGCGAAGGCGGGUUGCUAGGCUGACACUGACGCUGACAGCGCGAAAGCCAGGGGAGCAAACGGG